RNAcentral lists this ribosomal RNA (253 nucleotides) under uncultured bacterium. RNAcentral describes it as "partial 16S ribosomal RNA". It matches the Rfam family "Bacterial small subunit ribosomal RNA", at positions 524 to 776 of the family's 1533-position model. The record is from RNAcentral.
GACGUAGGGCGCGAGCGUUGUCCGGAUUUAUUGGGCGUAAAGAGCUCGUAGGCGGCUUGUCGCGUCGUCCGUGAAAACCUGCAGCUCAACUGCAGGCUUGCGGUCGAUACGGGCAGGCUAGAGUUCGGUAGGGGAGACUGGAAUUCCUGGUGUAGCGGUGAAAUGCGCAGAUAUCAGGAGGAACACCGGUGGCGAAGGCGGGUCUCUGGGCCACUACUGACGCUGAGAAGCGAAAGCGUGGGGAGCGAACAGG